UGGAAAAAAGGUGAAUCUGAAAAAG
RNAcentral lists this non-coding RNA (25 nucleotides) under Mus musculus (house mouse). The record is from RNAcentral. Lineage: Eukaryota; Metazoa; Chordata; Mammalia; Rodentia; Muridae.